CCUACGGGAGGCAGCAGUGGGGAAUAUUGCACAAUGGGGGAAACUCUGAUGCAGCCACGCCGCGUGCGUGAAGACGUAUUUCGGUAUGUAAAGCUCUAUCAGCAGGGAAGAGAAUGACGGUACCUGACUAAGAAGCCACGGCUAACUACGUGCCAGCAGCCGCGGUAAUACGGAGGGGGCAAGCGUUAUCCGGAUUUACUGGGUGUAAAGGGAGCGUAGACGGCUGUACAAGUCUGAAGUGAAAUCCCGUGGCUCAACCGCGGAACUGCUUUUGCAACUGUUAAGCUGGAGUACUGGUGAGGCAGGCGGAAUGCCUAGUGUAGCGGUGAAAUGCGUAGAGAUUAGGAGGAACACCAGUGGCGAAGGCAGCCUGCUAGACAGAAACUGACGUUGAGGCUCGAAAGCGUGGGGAGCAAACAGGAUUAGAUACCCUUGUAGUC
This 440-nucleotide ribosomal RNA is filed under the name uncultured bacterium. Its description in RNAcentral is "partial 16S ribosomal RNA". It matches the Rfam family "Bacterial small subunit ribosomal RNA", at positions 338 to 795 of the family's 1533-position model. The record is from RNAcentral.